GCUAGUAUAGCUCAAUUGGUAGAGCAGCUGAUUUGUAAUCAGCCGGUUGCAGGUUCAAUUCCUGUUGCUAGCUC
Molecule: transfer RNA, 74 nt
Filed under: Cyanidioschyzon merolae
Lineage: Eukaryota; Rhodophyta; Bangiophyceae; Cyanidiales; Cyanidiaceae
Description: tRNA-Thr
Rfam family: tRNA
About the family: Transfer RNA (tRNA) molecules are approximately 80 nucleotides in length. Their secondary structure includes four short double-helical elements and three loops (D, anti-codon, and T loops). Further hydrogen bonds mediate the characteristic L-shaped molecular structure. tRNAs have two regions of fundamental functional importance: the anti-codon, which is responsible for specific mRNA codon recognition, and the 3' end, to which the tRNAs corresponding amino acid is attached (by aminoacyl-tRNA synthetases). tRNAs cope with the degeneracy of the genetic code in two manners: having more than one tRNA (with a specific anti-codon) for a particular amino acid; and 'wobble' base-pairing, i.e. permitting non-standard base-pairing at the 3rd anti-codon position.
Source: RNAcentral